Molecule: ribosomal RNA, 795 nt
Filed under: uncultured bacterium
Lineage: Bacteria
Description: bacterial SSU rRNA
Rfam family: Bacterial small subunit ribosomal RNA
Source: RNAcentral
AGAGUUUGAUCCUGGCUCAGAUUGAACGCUGGCGGCGUGCCUAACACAUGCAAGUCGAGCGGUAACAGGUGUAGCAAUACAUGCUGACGAGCGGCGAACGGGUGAGUAAUGCUUCGGAAUCUGCCCUAUGGUGGGGAAUAACUAGCCGAAAGGUUAGCUAAUACCGCAUAAGUCCUACGGGAGAAAGCAGGGGAUCGUAAGACCUUGCGCCGAUGGAUGAGCCGAAGUCGGAUUAGCUAGUUGGUGAGGUAACGGCUCACCAAGGCGACGAUCCGUAGCUGGUCUGAGAGGACGACCAGCCACACUGGGACUGAGACACGGCCCAGACUCCUACGGGAGGCAGCAGUGGGGAAUAUUGGACAAUGGGGGCAACCCUGAUCCAGCGACGCCGCGUGUGUGAAGAAGGCCUGCGGGUUGUAAAGCACUUUUAGUGGGGAUGAAAUGUGCAGGGUUAACACCUCUGCAUUUUGACCUAACCCACAGAAAAAGCACCGGCUAACUCUGUGCCAGCAGCCGCGGUAAUACAGAGGGUGCAAGCGUUAAUCGGAAUUACUGGGCGUAAAGCGUGCGCAGAUGGUUAUGUAAGUCGGGUGUGAAAGCCCCGGGCUCAACCUGGGAAUUGCAUUCGAGACUGCGUAGCUAGGGUGCGGAAGAGGGAAGCGGAAUUUCCGGUGUAGCGGUGAAAUGCGUAGAUAUCGGAAGGAACACCAGUGGCGAAAGCGGCUUCCUGGUCCAGCACCGACAUUCAGGCACGAAAGCGUGGGGAGCAAACAGGAUUAGAUACCCCAGUAGUCC